UCCAGUAGCACCUUAGAGACCAACUAAGUCUGUUAUUGGUAUGAGCUUUUGUGUGCAUUUUGAGUAUCUGAAGAAGUGUGCAUGCACACGAAAACUCAUACCAGUAACAAACUUAGUUGGUCUCUAAGGUGCUACUGGA
This is a non-coding RNA of Podarcis lilfordi (Lilford's wall lizard), 139 nucleotides long. Lineage: Eukaryota; Metazoa; Chordata; Lepidosauria; Squamata; Lacertidae. The record is from the annotation of a GenBank genome assembly.